GCACUCAUCAGCAGCAGACUCACUACCAGAAACAUCUUCUUCAGCCUCAGAAACAUUUUCACUAUCUUCAUCAUCAGCAUCUGCAUCAUUUUCACCAGCAGCAUCCUGAGAACCAAUCUCUUCAGCACCUCUGGUUUGAUAUUGCACACUUUCAUUGUGCGAGGCACCACUUCGAAAGGCAACAAAAUUGUCCUCUUCAAAAUCACCAUUGGGUGAUAACUCACCCUCUUCUUUCUCAUUUUUACAGGGAUCAGCUGAAUCAUCAUUGUACCCAUUCAUUGUAGAGCCUUCUGCAAACCCUCCAUUACCCAACGGAAUCGAUCUUGAAGUAUCACUCUCCGAUGCUGGCACAUUAUCGAUGUUAGACUUGGAUACUUGACCAUCGUCAGAAGCACCAUUACCCUGUCUUGCACCACGCCCUGAAGUUAGUUCCACUCUUCCAUGAACAGUAUCUGCUCCCAUAGCAGGAGCUGCAUCAGAACUAGUUAGGUGCUCACCAGUCACUGGCAAACCGUCUUCUUUGGGGAGAGCAUCUGCACUUGCAAAGCUUGUCCUAGAAGGAUUUACUCGUAAGGGGGGAGCAUUUGCAUCUCUGUUGCUGAUAACUUUUGAUUGUUUACAAUUCCUAGUAGAAGCAUCUGCACUAGGACUGCCAUCACUUUCACCAAUGCUAGCUCCAUCA
This 682-nucleotide unclassified non-coding RNA is filed under the name Hevea brasiliensis (rubber tree). The record is from RNAcentral. Lineage: Eukaryota; Viridiplantae; Streptophyta; Magnoliopsida; Malpighiales; Euphorbiaceae.